UUCCGGUUGAUCCCGCCGGACCUGACUGCUAUCGGAUUGAUACUAAGCCAUGCGAGUCAUUGUAGCAAUAGAAGGCAGACGGCUCAGUAACGCGUAGUCAACCUAACCUAUGGACGGGAAUAACCUCGGGAAACUGAGAAUAAUGCCCGAUAGAACACUAUACCUGGAAUGGUUUGUGUUCCAAAUGAUUUAUCGCCGUAGGAUGGGACUGCGGCCUAUCAGUUUGUUGGUGAGGUAAUGGCCCACCAAGACUAUUACAGGUACGGGCUCUGAGAGGAGUAGCCCGGAGAUGGGUACUGAGACACGGACCCAGGCCCUAUGGGGCGCAGCAGGCGAGAAAACUUUGCAAUGUGCGAAAGCACGACAAGGUUAAUCCGAGUGAUUUGUGCUAAACGAAUCUUUUGUUAGUCCUAGAAACACUAACGAAUAAGGGGUGGGCAAGUUCUGGUGUCAGCCGCCGCGGUAAAACCAGCACCUCAAGUGGUCAGGAUGAUUAUUGGGCCUAAAGCAUCCGUAGCCGGCUCUGUAAGUUUUCGGUUAAAUCUGUACGCUUAACGUACAGGCUGCCGGGAAUACUGCAGAGCUAGGGAGUGGGAGAGGUAGACGGUACUCGGUAGGAAGGGGUAAAAUCCUUUGAUCUAUUGAUGACCACCUGUGGCGAAGGCGGUCUACCAGAACACGUCCGACGGUGAGGGAUGAAAGCUGGGGGAGCAAACCGGAUUAGAUACCCGGGUAGUCCCAGCUGUAAACUAUGCAAACUCAGUGAUGCAUUGACUUGUGGUCAAUGCAGUGCUGCAGGGAAGCCGUUAAGUUUGCCGCCUGGGAAGUACGUACGCAAGUAUGAAACUUAAAGGAAUUGGCGGGGGAGCACCACAAGGGGUGAAGCCUGCGGUUCAAUUGGAUUCAACGCCGGA
This 914-nucleotide ribosomal RNA is filed under the name uncultured archaeon. Its description in RNAcentral is "bacterial SSU rRNA". It matches the Rfam family "Archaeal small subunit ribosomal RNA", at positions 1 to 922 of the family's 1478-position model. The record is from RNAcentral.